RNAcentral lists this small RNA (262 nucleotides) under Anaerosporobacter mobilis DSM 15930. RNAcentral describes it as "Clostridiales-3 RNA". It matches the Rfam family "Clostridiales-3 RNA". The record is from Rfam by way of RNAcentral. Lineage: Bacteria; Bacillati; Bacillota; Clostridia; Lachnospirales; Lachnospiraceae.
UAGUAGUUCGAUGGAUUGAAAGAUGAAGAACGAGAGGCAGGGCACAAGCCUGAUAAAAGGAAGACGAAUAUGGUGGAAGGAUAAUAACCCAUGGAGGUCGAGAGGUUCGACCUUAUCCUCGAAACGGCAAGAGAGGAGAUAGUGUUACCGCAAGGUAAGGCGUCAUGAAUGCGUAGGCAGCUCGUUUGUAACUCCCGGGAAUGAGUACAUUCCUUGUGUACGGGGCGAAGAGGGACUUGAAACAGUUGACGUACACCAUACA